GUACUUCUGGUUACUGCGAUGGAGGGACGGAGAAGGCUAGGCCAGCUUGGCGUUGGUUGUCCAAGUUUAAGGUGGUAGGCUGAAAUCUUAGGUAAAUCCGGGGUUUCAAGGCCGAGAGCUGAUGACGAGUCGUCUUUUAGAUGACGAAGUGGUUGAUGCCAUGCUUCCAAGAAAAGCUUCUAAGCUUCAGGUAACCAGGAACCGUACCCCAAACCGACACAGGUGGUCGGGUAGAGAAUACCAAGGCGCUUGAGAGAACUCGGGUGAAGGAACUAGGCAAAAUGGCACCGUAACUUCGGGAGAAGGUGCGCCGGCUAGGGUGAAGGAUUUACUCCGUAAGCUCUGGCUGGUCGAAGAUACCAGGCCGCUGCGACUGUUUAUUAAAAACACAGCACUCUGCAAACACGAAAGUGGACGUAUAGGGUGUGACGCCUCCCCGGUGCCGGAAGGUUAAUUGAUGGGGUUAGCGCAAGCGAAGCUCUUGAUCGAAGCCCCGGUAAACGGCGGCCGUAACUAUAACGGUCCUAAGGUAGCGAAAUUCCUUGUCGGGUAAGUUCCGACCUGCACGAAUGGCGUAACGAUGGCGGCGCUGUCUCCACCCGAGACUCAGUGAAAUUGAAAUCGCUGUGAAGAUGCAGUGUAUCCGCGGCUAGACGGAAAGACCCCGUGAACCUUUACCGUAGCUUUGCACUGGACUUUGAGCCUGCUUGUGUAGGAUAGGUGGGAGGCUUUGAAGCGUGGACGCCAGUUCGCGUGGAGCCAUCCUUGAAAUACCACCCUGGCAUGCUUGAGGUUCUAACUCUGGUCCGUAAUCCGGAUCGAGGACAGUGUAUGGUGGGCAGUUUGACUGGGGCGGUCUCCUCCUAAAGAGUAACGGAGGAGUACGAAGGUGCGCUCAGACCGGUCGGAAAUCGGUCGCAGAGUAUAAAGGCAAAAGCGCGCUUGACUGCGAGACAGACACGUCGAGCAGGUACGAAAGUAGGUCUUAGUGAUCCGGUGGUUCUGUAUGGAAGGGCCAUCGCUCAACGGAUAAAAGGUACUCCGGGGAUAACAGGCUGAUACCGCCCAAGAGUUCAUAUCGACGGCGGUGUUUGGCACCUCGAUGUCGGCUCAUCACAUCCUGGGGCUGAAGCCGGUCCCAAGGGUAUGGCUGUUCGCCAUUUAAAGUGGUACGCGAGCUGGGUUUAGAACGUCGUGUGACAGUUCGGUCCCUAUCUGCCGUGGACGUUUGAGAUUUGAGAGGGGCUGCUCCUAGUACGAGAGGACCGGAGUGGACGAACCUCUGGUGUUCCGGUUGUCACGCCAGUGGCAUUGCCGGGUAGCUAUGUUCGGAAAAGAUAACCGCUGAAAGCAUCUAAGCGGGAAACUUGCCUCAAGAUGAGAUCUCACUGGGAACUUGAUUCCCCUGAAGGGCCGUCGAAGACUACGACGUUGAUAGGCUGGGUGUGUAAGCGUUGUGAGGCGUUGAGCUAACCAGUACUAAUUGCCCGUGAG
This 1494-nucleotide ribosomal RNA is filed under the name metagenome. RNAcentral describes it as "bacterial LSU rRNA". It matches the Rfam family "Bacterial large subunit ribosomal RNA", at positions 1441 to 2915 of the family's 2925-position model. The record is from RNAcentral.